UGGGGAAUUUUGGACAAUGGGCGAAAGCCUGAUCCAGCAAUGCCGCGUGUGUGAAGAAGGCCUUCGGGUUGUAAAGCACUUUUGUCCGGAAAGAAAUCCUUGGCUCUAAUACAGUCGGGGGAUGACGGUACCGGAAGAAUAAGCACCGGCUAACUACGUGCCAGCAGCCGCGGUAAUACGUAGGGUGCAAGCGUUAAUCGGAAUUACUGGGCGUAAAGCGUGCGCAGGCGGUUUGCUAAGACCGAUGUGAAAUCCCCGGGCUCAACCUGGGAACUGCAUUGGUGACUGGCAGGCUAGAGUAUGGCAGAGGGGGGUAGAAUUCCACGUGUAGCAGUGAAAUGCGUAGAGAUGUGGAGGAAUACCGAUGGCGAAGGCAGCCCCCUGGCAAGUACUGACGCUCAUGCACGAAAGCGUGGGGAGCAAACAGGAUUAGAUACCCUGGUAGUCCCACGCCCUAAAACGAUGUCAACUAGUUGUUGGGAAUUCAUUUUCCUUAGUAACGUAGCUAACGCGUGAAGUUGACCGCCUGGGGGAGUACGGUCGCAAGAUUAAAAACUUAAAUGAAUUGAGCGGGGUCAU
This 579-nucleotide ribosomal RNA is filed under the name uncultured bacterium. RNAcentral describes it as "partial 16S ribosomal RNA". It matches the Rfam family "Bacterial small subunit ribosomal RNA", at positions 355 to 923 of the family's 1533-position model. The record is from RNAcentral.